Chrysemys picta bellii (western painted turtle) is the source of this 4056-nucleotide long non-coding RNA. RefSeq lists it as uncharacterized. NCBI's taxonomy places the organism in Eukaryota, Metazoa, Chordata, Testudines, Emydidae. The record is from RefSeq and is a predicted model, not a curated record.
UGCAGAACACAAUGGGUUCAGACUAUAUUACAACAGAGUUCUGUAACACUAGAGUAAAACUGACAUAGUGCAGUGGUGAAUCAAGUCCAAAGUCUUUGGACAGCACAGUUCUAAAUCCAUUGAUUGUACCAACAAAGCCCAUAUAACAUGCAUGGCAGGGGAAAUCUGAACCUACCUCGACCUACUGAAAACAACAGACUGGAUCAACAGCACAGAAGAAAGCAAUGUUCUGGGACUUUACCAAGUCGAGGGAAGGGGUUACUGGAAGGGAAAAUUCUGCAGGCCCAAGCAACAUGGAAAGGCAUUAGUUCUUGCUGGGGAAAUGCAGAGCCCUGGACUUCAGGAUUUGUCAGUCGGAUCAGUUCAUCUGCGCAGGAGCCAGCUAUCUCGGAGGCCAGUCUCAGAUGUGUGGAACGCACACUCCAGGAAACUGAGGCCCAUCCUAAAUCUCAUCACCCUCUGCUUUCAAAUGUGAGGUGCACUUCUCCCACCUGCUUUCUCUAACGUAAACACAGAGCAGCAUGGACGUUUUAAAAAAAACAGCUCUCCAAACCAAACACUACACGGCACACACAAUUCUCUCCCCUGGGAGAGAAAACAACGCUGUUCAGAUACUACAGUGAUGAGAGUGGUGUAAUGACCUACAUAGACUAAUGCGUUGAAGCACUAUUGAAGCGGAGACUGCAGAUGUACAGAUUCAAACAGGGAGGGUUGUCUGAUCAUGUCCAGCUGCAGCAUGAGUUUGAAUCCUAGUUCACUUGUUCCACUACCUGUGCUGGCACGACAGUGGGAACAUUAUAAACCGGGAGGGGGCUGAGAACCAGGACCCCAAAACUCAUUUUUUUGCCCCUCCAUGACCUCUAGAUACCACCACCAUUUUUUAUCCCAGAAUGCUUUGUGUUCCCUCCCAGAAUCCAUUGACAGUUUUCUUCCAACCUCCCCAUCUACGUGGUUCUGUAAUGCUUAAUCAUCUGUUUUCUUUCCAUUCAUUUUCAUAUAUGGUUAAAAGCUGAAAGUAUUUACAUUCCAUAAACUGGCUAACGGCACAUUUAAAAAUAUAUCAGAAAGCUGAAGGUAUAUGUCCUUAUGACUCGCUCAGAUUCCUCGAAGCCAUGUAUUCUGUAAACCUCAUUAGCACUGCUAGUUAUGCUGGGGAAAGUUUUCUUUACAGCGCAACAGACUAGAAUCAAAGUUAUUUUAAAAGAAAGCUUCACUCAUAUACAACAGGUUUUUGUGCCCCCUUGCGGUCAGGACCUCUAGGGUUCCAGAAUCAGGGCCCUGGAGUUGCCUGUGGUCAUGCAGGGAUCCGGUUGCGCUACUCCCUAUGACUUGGAGUGCUAAGAGCUCUGCAUAAGGCUUGAAAAAUUUAGUGAGGCUGCUGCUAUGUAAAAAUGAUUCAGUGUCCGUGAGCAGAACAUCUGUCAGAAGAGCUCGCAGCUGGCAGAACCCAGAGUCAAGGAAAGGAAAUCCUGGAGAGAAAUGGGGCGUAGCUCGCAAAUACAGAGCAGCAGAUGCUGAGCUGCGGGGGUGGGGGCUUGAGUGGCGGGAGGAAGAGAGGGCAGGGAGUCAACUAGGUGUGUGGUUGUGAGGAUUACUGACUAAUUUACCUAGGAGCCAGAAGAGCAAAUGCCUAGCAGAACAACACAUCUGGGGCAAGAUCCAGUGCUCCAAGGGAGGAGAGGAAAGGGGAAUAUAGAUGGGCGUUCACAUCAUUUUUCUGUUUGUUCCAAAGCCUCUGAGUUGUGUGUUUCACAUGCUCCAUAUGUGGCUCUCUGAUUAUUUGGAGACUCUGGAGCCGCCUGAAUCUGAUCCCCCCCCACAAAUGUUACACCGGUUUAACUCCCUUGUCUUCAGGGGAGUUACUCCUGAUUUACACCUAUGCUGUGCAAGAGCAGACUCAAUCCCCGUAUGCAACGCAGCCAUGAGUAUACUGGGGGCCCUGGUCACCAUUGUGCUGCUCCAGUCCUAAGCCAGGGUAAAGCCAUUGAAUUCAGUGCAGAGCGGAGUAAAGCCGAAGCAAUGCAGUUAUGAAUCCGGCUCUAGAAGUUUCUCCUGUUUGUUGAAUUCAGCGAGAGCUCCUGAGGCAACCUGCAGGGGCUGGGGGCAAAUUUAUAAGUUCCCGCCCUCAGCUGGGGAAGGCCAGAGACCAACGUUUUUCCUCUUUUCUCAGAGCCUUAGAAAGAGCUAAUCUGCGGUAGGUCUGUAUUCUUUAAGUGUGUGUGUGAACUAGAGACAGAGAACUGUGCAGUCACAUGCUUGCCCUGUACUCUGCUCCUUUGCAUUCUCCCCCUCACUCCCUUUGGAGGGUGUUUCAGGGACAGCCUGUGAGGGACUAAUCUGCAUGUGUAAUGUACAUAUGCACAUUUUUAUUUGCUCUCUCCAGCUGCAGGGAACUGGCUGGCAGCAAAAACCACCAUGUGGUUCCCCUCUAAAGGUCUCUCCAAAGGGGCUCAGUGCAGCUGUUUGACCUCACCUCAUGUGCAUGCUACCUAGAUGGCUAAACAAAAUUCACUCUACCUGCUCCUUAGCCUGUGAUAGAGAUGAGCAGCUGACACACCGAUUUGUAGCCUGUCUACACACAUGCACAUCAUACAUCAUUUGAAAGCUUAUUAUAUUUACUUUAAGAUGAGCUAUGGUGUGCAACUGUCAAGUGGUGCAGCUACCAUGGAAAUGGGGAUAAACAAUGAUACCAUCAGCAUGUUAAAAUGACCACCUUGCCAUGUUUGCAUUCACUUCUGGUAGUUUAAUGACUCAAUUUAUUAUUUCAAGACCUAAAAUUGGAUUUCUUUGUGGCCUCAAAGCAUCACAACAGCAAUCAGAGUAAAACAGACUCUAGUAAUAAAUGUGCGCCGAUAUAAUUGAAAUGGUGUAGAGCUGGUGACAAUUCUAGUUAACAUCAUUAUCAUCAUCUUGUUCAUCAUUCUGAUCUCUGUCAAAAGUGUGUGGGUUACCAGAGUCUUCAUUGCCUUGGCUUCUUCAAAACCUCUGCUACUUCACCACUGGAAAAGCCUCCAGCAAGGAGUGUUUGGGUUGUGUGCGUUUCUACAUUGUCAGGUGCAUUUUGAGCCAUCUCUUCACAGAGGAAUUUGAGACGUGUCUGCCUGUUGCGUGCCACGUUUAGAAACUUUUCUCAUGGAGGCACAGGGGACCCACCAAUCAUCUGGUAUUUCUUGCAUCCAACCAUAGAUCUUGUCCGGCUCUGUCUUUUCUGCAGUUGUCACAGGGUUACAAUUGCCAUGUCUAUCAAAGAUUUUGAUUACAGAAUUAGCUUUGUCAAAUCCUUUUAGGACCUGCUUCAAGUACUCAGCAGUCAAUUCAUCAGACGUGUGGAACUUGUCUCCAGACAUCAUUUGCAUGACAGCCAUGGCAUCUCCGAUGUACACUGUGAUUUCUUUGUUGCGUGCUUUUAGUACAUGGAUUCAUUUAGCUUGAGCUUCCAGCUAAUGCUCUACUUCAGCGUUGCCUGUUCUCAUUAUUCCAUCAGCAUGGAAGAGGGACAUAGGCACAGGUGCUAUUGGGUGACUGUGCCAGUCUACACUAUCAUCGUCACCGUUUUUACAAGACUAUGAUACAUUUUGUACAAAGAAUUCUCUGUGAGGUAGCAUCUGAAAAGUCAUAAUGCUGAAUAUCAUUAUCCUGUUAAAAUAUGAGUAGCAACACUAUAUGUGAAGUUAUAAGAUUCUACUGUAUGAUUGUUACUUAAAUAUUUUGUAAUUCUGGGUAACACCCACAAACCAGUUUUUCAGAGACAAAGACACACGAGCACCCCAGACAGGUGUUAAAGGGCCGUCGCCAACUUCAGCAGCCAUCCUCCAGUGGGGGAGAAGGUGUAAACAAGAAAUGUACAUUUCAUCACAGGGAUGAUUCAAACCUCAGGUCCACAACAGACUGUGUGUCACCAUGACUCAGCAAGGAUGUUUCUAGCACAAGAAAUUGAAUUAUAACGUGGGAGGAAAACACUUCACUUCAACUCUCCUUCUCCCCUCUCUCUGAUCAUGACAUCAACGGCUCUCAAAACUGAACUAAAGGGGAGUGGUCACAGGCAUCACCACUUGU